Homarus americanus (American lobster) is the source of this 358-nucleotide long non-coding RNA. RefSeq lists it as uncharacterized. The transcript is spliced from 3 exons. The record is from RefSeq and is a predicted model, not a curated record. NCBI's taxonomy places the organism in Eukaryota, Metazoa, Arthropoda, Malacostraca, Decapoda, Nephropidae.
AGUGUGUUUUUCGAGUGUCUUGCGGUAUAUAAGGCGAUGGUCAGAGUGUGUUAGGCAUCACUUCAUUUCACUUCUUUCUCAGCAGACAUGUGGGCUAAGAUUGUCAUGAUGGUGGUGGCGGCUCUGGUGUUCCUGGGCACAGCUGAGGCGGCUCCUGGCUAUGUUGGCGGCUACGGUGGCGGCUAUGGUGGCGGCCACGGUGGCGGAUAUGGUGGCGGCUACAGUGGCGGCUACGGUGGCGGAUAUGGAGGCUAUGGAGGAGGUUAUGGUUACGGCAGAUAAGACACCUGGGCCGCCCUCCACACCUGACCAGCUCACCUGUACGUCUUCUUAAUUAUAAAUAUAUUCAUAAAAUGUA